CGCCGUGAUGAGAACCUUGAAUAGGAAGUGCCGUCCGAUGCGAUAACUGACGAUUUCAUUCAAAUUUUCUGAGC
Molecule: small nucleolar RNA, 74 nt
Organism: Conger conger (European conger)
Lineage: Eukaryota; Metazoa; Chordata; Actinopteri; Anguilliformes; Congridae
Product: small nucleolar RNA SNORD49
Exons: 1
Source: RefSeq, a predicted model, not a curated record